Long non-coding RNA from Lampris incognitus (smalleye Pacific opah), 278 nucleotides. RefSeq lists it as uncharacterized. The record is from RefSeq and is a predicted model, not a curated record. Lineage: Eukaryota; Metazoa; Chordata; Actinopteri; Lampriformes; Lampridae. The transcript is spliced from 3 exons.
AAGAAGAAGACCCCACUGAAGAAGAAGAAGAGGAAGAAGAAGAAGAGGAAUAAGAAGAAAGUAAACGAUGAGAGCCUGCAGUACUGCCCUGAUAUCGAGAAGAUCUGCAGUGACGUUCACAAACAGAAAUGGCAUUAAAUGGGCCCGAGGGUUGAUUGCUGUACGCAGCUGACGAAAAAGAAGAGGAUUACCUCACACUGAACUGGACUUUUGAACUGGAUAGUUUUGUGUUUUGUUGGUAACAGCAUACCCAAAUAAAAAUAACAAAAAAAUGUGAA